This 1844-nucleotide long non-coding RNA is filed under the name Heterocephalus glaber (naked mole-rat). RNAcentral describes it as "lncRNA (ENSHGLG00000047352.1)". The record is from RNAcentral. Lineage: Eukaryota; Metazoa; Chordata; Mammalia; Rodentia; Bathyergidae.
CCCGCUCCUGCCCCCGGUUCUGUGCACCAGCCAGGAAGUGCAUUCCAUCACAGGUUUUAGAUUCUCAGCAGGAAGAAAAGGGGGACUCGUGUGUCCCCCCGGAAAGCCUCACUUCGCAACAUACUGCCCUGGAGAAAAGUCAAGGCCAGAGUCAAAAAUCUAUCUUUUUGUUUUCUAGCAAGAGGGCUUCCACAGGUCGCAUCAGAAAGGCAUCCAUGGGAGGCGGAGAAGGGAGCUGGUCCCGAAAUGACCACUGAUGGCUUCUCCAGCCGUGCUUGAGGGGAAGCCCACAGCUCUCCGGUCUCAGGGAGGACGAGGACCCAAAGACAAGGAGGCCAGGCAUCCUCCUGAGAAGAUCCCGGUGGACAGGGGCCUGCCUGGGUAGACGUCCCCGCCGCGGUCGCAGGGGAGCAGGCAGAACCCCAGGUUCUGGAGCAGCACAGGGGGAGAGCGGGGCAUCGGAGACCAAGCCAGCCACAGCCCCAAGUGCUUGCUGGUGCCCGGAGAGAGUGUGUGAGGCCCGGAACCUCCCCUCCCUUCUUUCUUCCUUUCUUUUUGUUUCUUUGUUUUUUUGUCUUGUUUUGUUUUUUGAGACAGGGUUCCGCUAUGUAGCUCAGGCUGGCCUUGAACUCUUUAUGUAGCUCAGGCUGGCCUCGAACUCAUGGUGAUCCUCCUGCCUCAGGCUUCUGAGAGCUGGGAUGACAGGCGUGCACCACCACACCUGGCCCCUUCUUUUCUGUAAUGAGGAUGAAACCCACGGCCUUCACACUGAGCUACAUCCUCAGCCCCUGUUUUUAUUUUUAUUUUUCAUUUUAAAAUUGUGCCUUGUCAAACCACUGAGUUGUCUGGUCUGGGUCCCAGCUUGUAGUCUUCCUGCCUCACCCUCCCACAGGCGCACAGGAUUACAGGCGCACAACACCACGGCCAGCUGUGAGGUCCUCUCAAAGUCCCAAACCACAGUGACCUGCAUAAGUUCUGCAGUCUAAGGAGUCUUCAAACCCGGAUCACAAGCCAGUGGAUUGAGGACAGAAACCCUCCGCAGAGCCCAGGCCCCGCAGGGCGCUUGGGUCCUCCCUCACGUCUGCCCUGCACCAGCUCUCGGAGCUGGAGCGCUGAAGCUGGAAUCCACAUCUUUACAGACCUUUACAGACCGAAGCUGCACAGGGCCUGGAAACCAUCCAUCCAUCCACACUCAGAUCCUCGGCCACACGGAGCCUUCCGCAAAGACAGAGAGGAAGGCCCAGGCAGUGGGUAGUGGGUAGGUGGGCGGACCUCUCCCAUUCAAACUGGCCUCAGGCCCACCCUGUCCUCCGCCCAAACCAUCCGUGGCUCCCACUGCCAGCCCAGCCCAAUGUGCUGGCCUGGGGUCCAGGUUAGCCUUUGUCCCAGGCGACCUCUCCAGCCCUGUGUCCUCGGCACUCUAAAAACUGAUAAAAACAACCAGGGAAGGCACGGAGGAGCCCAACAGCCCCCACCAGGGAGGAUCGCCCAGGAAACCGCACAGGGAGCCAGUGCCGCCCCCCACGUCCCGGUCCACUGCUGCCUUAGUGCAGAGCCCCCUCCCAAGCCCCUCACUGCCCAGGUUCCCCGCACCGCCUUUCCUCAGCCUGGCCUGCGCUUCACUUAUAAACACACACACCUCUCACUGGGUGUGGUGCACAUGCAUGCCUGCUAUCUCAGCGCUUGGAGGCUGAGUCAGGAGGAUCGCAAUUCCAAACCCAGCCUGAACAACUUAGCCACUAAGAUCCUGUCUCAAAAUAAAAAUAAAAAAUAAAAAAAGACUUGGGAUAUAGCUCAGCAAGAAGCCCUGGGUUCAAUUCCUAGUAGUGCAAAAAAUAAAUACG